GUGAGCGCUCGUGAUAAACAGCCCGGAGCCGAGCCGCCGCGCAGCCGGGCGGGAGGCUGCGUAUCAGAGCUCCUGAUGGGGAAACUGAGGCCUGGAAACAGAGAACGGUGGGACCAAGGUCACAUGAUGGCGGAAGGAGGACAAGGAAGGAGGCUGACUGCGUAUCCAGCACGUGUUCCGUGCCAAGCCUGUGCAGGGGCCAAGGACCGGGGUCUCUGGACAGCGCCGGUUGCUGGGUCCCACGCUGGGCGACAGGGCCUUUGCAAUCAGGCCGACAGGGUUUGAACCCUUGCCGCGGCACUUUCCAGAUGGCCUUGGCCACUGUCCCCUCUCUGACCUUCAGAUGGAGCCCAUGGCACCUCCGGAGGGGGUGUGUGCUUCCAGGACCAAAUCCACUUGUGCGUGGUUAGGCACGAGGUGGGGGGAGGCGGCUCAGCCACCGGGACCUGUCCUGCCUCCACCCUCUGUGCAACCCCUUUCCUUGCCUUUUGUCUCUGUUGCUUUUGGGGGGUGAUUAGCCGCUAGCUCAGCGGCUAGAGGAUUCUCUCCCGGAAAAGGCUCCGGAGUUGAGGCCCAGACCCCCAGGGCAAGACGGAAUCUGCUCCCCAGGGCACUAACUGAGACUCGGUUCCCUCACUGGUAAAAUGAGAAAACUCACUUAUGGUCAGGGGUCCCCGAGUUAAUGCCAGUGAAUUCCUUGGCAGAGCAUCAAGCACUUGGAGAAGCCCCCACCCCCGGUCAUUGUGAUGAUGGUUUGUUUGUUUGUUUGUUUGUUUUGAGACGGAGUCUCGCUCUGUCGCCCAGGCUGGAGUGCAGUGGCGCGAUCUCGGCUCACUGCAAGCUCUGCCUCCCGGGUUCACGCCAUUCAGGGGAGUGGCGCCGAGACACCGUGUAGCGCCCAUGCCAAGGAGGAAGCGAGACAGCAGGAGCGGAGGAAAGAACCCCGGGCUGUGUUGAGGAAGCCUCCUACUUUUGCCUGAAGUGAGGUCUCCUAUAGAGAGAAGCGUUGACUGGGGACACUCGCUGCUUGCGUUUUGCUGGUAG
This 1044-nucleotide long non-coding RNA is filed under the name Homo sapiens (human). Its description in RNAcentral is "non-protein coding lnc-NTMT1-4:5". Lineage: Eukaryota; Metazoa; Chordata; Mammalia; Primates; Hominidae. The record is from RNAcentral.